RNAcentral lists this ribosomal RNA (272 nucleotides) under uncultured prokaryote. RNAcentral describes it as "partial 16S ribosomal RNA". The record is from RNAcentral.
CCCUCUGGGGUGCAGCAGGACGUUGGAAAUUGGAAGUAUGUAGAUAACGGCCAGUACAGGGUUGUGGAUGACGCCAAGAAUGUCUACACAAUCGACAACAAUAUGCGUGUCAUCAAAGCUGUCGACGCCAAUGGGAAUGACCUUCCAGACGCCCUGACCAAGACCGCCGCUUUCGAUCCGGUUGCAAUUGAAUCUGGCGUUAUGAACCUGCGCAAGGCUGCUAAUACUGAGUUCAUCAAUGGCGUAGAGAAGCUGAUGAAAGCCCCGACUGA